Molecule: ribosomal RNA, 796 nt
Filed under: uncultured marine thaumarchaeote
Lineage: Archaea; Thermoproteati; Nitrososphaerota
Description: bacterial SSU rRNA
Rfam family: Archaeal small subunit ribosomal RNA
Source: RNAcentral
ACGGCUGCUCAGUAACACGUAGUCAACUUACCCUAUGGACGAGGAUAAUCUCGGGAAACUGAGCAUAAUACUCGAUAGAUCAUAAUGCCUGGAAUGGUUUAUGGUUGAAAUGAUUCGUCGCCAUAGGAUGGGACUGCGGCCUAUCAGCUUGUUGGUGAGGUAAUGGCCCACCAAGGCGAUUACAGGUACGGGCUCUGAGAGGAGAAGCCCGGAGAUGGGUACUGAGACAAGGACCCAGGCCCUAUGGGGCGCAGCAGGCGAGAAAACUUUGCAAUGUGCGAAAGCACGACAAGGUUAAUCCGAGUGAUUUCUGUUAAAGAAAUCUUUUGCAAGUCAUAAAACCACUAGUGAAUAAGGGGUGGGCAAGUUCUGGUGUCAGCCGCCGCGGUAAAACCAGCACCUCAAGUGGUCAGGAGGAUUAUUGGGCCUAAAGCAUCCGUAGCCGGCUCUGUAAGUUUUCGGUUAAAUCCAUGUGCUCAACGCAUGGGCUGCCGAAAAUACUGCAUAGCUAGGGAGUGGGAGAGGUAGACGGUACUCGGUAGGAAGGGGUAAAAUCCUUUGAUCUAUCGAUGACCACCUGUGGCGAAGGCGGUCUACCAGAACACGUUCGACGGUGAGGGAUGAAAGCUGGGGGAGCAAACCGGAUUAGAUACCCGGGUAGUCCCAGCUGUAAACGAUGCAGACUCGAUGAUGCAUUGGCAUAUAGCCAGUGCAGUGUCGCAGGGAAGCCGUUAAGUCUGCCGCCUGGGAAGUACGUACGCAAGUAUGAAACUUAAAGGAAUUGGCGGGGGAGCAG